This 291-nucleotide ribosomal RNA is filed under the name Clostridioides difficile. RNAcentral describes it as "partial 16S ribosomal RNA". It matches the Rfam family "Bacterial small subunit ribosomal RNA", at positions 1166 to 1456 of the family's 1533-position model. The record is from RNAcentral. Lineage: Bacteria; Bacillati; Bacillota; Clostridia; Peptostreptococcales; Peptostreptococcaceae.
GAGGAAGGUGGGGAUGACGUCAAAUCAUCAUGCCCCUUAUGCUUAGGGCUACACACGUGCUACAAUGGGUAGUACAGAGGGUUGCCAAGCCGUAAGGCGGAGCUAAUCCCUUAAAGCUACUCUCAGUUCGGAUUGUAGGCUGAAACUCGCCUACAUGAAGCUGGAGUUACUAGUAAUCGCAGAUCAGAAUGCUGCGGUGAAUGCGUUCCCGGGUCUUGUACACACCGCCCGUCACACCACGGGAGUUGGAGACGCCCGAAGCCGAUUAUCUAACCUUUUGGAAGAAGUCGU